Molecule: unclassified non-coding RNA, 336 nt
Filed under: Alloalcanivorax xenomutans
Lineage: Bacteria; Pseudomonadati; Pseudomonadota; Gammaproteobacteria; Oceanospirillales; Alcanivoracaceae
Description: Alcanivorax xenomutans Long range pseudoknot
Source: RNAcentral
ACGGAUUCCGGCGACUACGAGGUGAAGCUGCGUAACCUGAAGCGUUUCCUCGAAACCGGCGAUAAAGCCAAGGUCACCGUGCGUUUCCGGGGUCGGGAAAUGGCGCACCAGGAGCUCGGUCGCGAGCUGCUGGCACGGAUUGAAGAGGAUUUGGCGGAAUACGGUUCCGUCGAGCAACGCCCGAACAUGGAAGGGCGCCAGAUGAUCAUGGUGCUCGGCCCGGGCAAAAAGAAGAAGUGAUCCGGAUUCGGGUUGCUUAAGGUAAUCAAGUACUCAGCAACGAGAAGGUAACCAUGCCUAAAAUCAAGACAAACCGCGGGGCUGCAAAGCGUUUCA